Small nuclear RNA from Sorex araneus (European shrew), 105 nucleotides. The record is from RefSeq and is a predicted model, not a curated record. NCBI's taxonomy places the organism in Eukaryota, Metazoa, Chordata, Mammalia, Eulipotyphla, Soricidae.
GUGCUCGCCUGGGCAGCACUCAUAUUACAGUGGGAACAAGACGGAUGAUUCGCAUGGCCCCCUGCACAGGAUGACCUGCAAAUGUGUGAAGCAUUCUGGAGUUUU